CCCUUAGAUGUCCUGGGCCGCACGCGCGCUACACUGAUGCAUUCAACGAGUAUUUCCUUGGCCGAGAGGCCUGGGCAAUCUUUUAAACCUGCAUCGUGAUAGGGAUAGAUUAUUGCAAUUAUUAAUCUUGAACGAGGAAUUCCUAGUAAGCGCAAAUCAUCAAUUUGCAUUGAUUACGUCCCUGCCCUUUGUACACACCGCCCGUCGCACCUACCGAUUGAAUGGUCCGGUGAAAUCUCGGGAUUGUGGCCAGUUCACUUUAUUGGGAGUUGGCUGCGAGAACUUGCUUAAACCUUAUCAUUUAGAGGAAGGUGAAGUCGUAACA
This 325-nucleotide ribosomal RNA is filed under the name uncultured eukaryote. Its description in RNAcentral is "partial 18S ribosomal RNA". It matches the Rfam family "Eukaryotic small subunit ribosomal RNA", at positions 1470 to 1796 of the family's 1831-position model. The record is from RNAcentral.